UACGUAGGGGGCUAGCGUUGUCCGGAAUCAUUGGGCGUAAAGCGCGCGUAGGCGGCCCGGUAAGUCCGCUGUAAAAGUCCAGGGCUCAACCCUGGAAAGCCGGUGGAUACUGUCGGGCUCGAGUCCGGAAGAGGCGAGUGGAAUUCCUGGUGUAGCGGUGGAAUGCGCAGAUAUCAGGAGGAACACCAAUGGCGAAGGCAGCUCGCUGGGACGGUACUGACGCUGAGACGCGAAAGCGUGGGGAGCGAACAGG
Molecule: ribosomal RNA, 253 nt
Filed under: uncultured bacterium
Lineage: Bacteria
Description: partial 16S ribosomal RNA
Rfam family: Bacterial small subunit ribosomal RNA
Source: RNAcentral